Long non-coding RNA from Vidua chalybeata, 2319 nucleotides. RefSeq lists it as uncharacterized. The transcript is spliced from 11 exons. The record is from RefSeq and is a predicted model, not a curated record. NCBI's taxonomy places the organism in Eukaryota, Metazoa, Chordata, Aves, Passeriformes, Viduidae.
GUUCUCCCCGUGGUCGCGGCGGCGGCGGCGGUGGCGGCGGGUGGGGGAGAGCGCUGAAGUCGCUUGUACUCGCCGGGCUUUCACGUCCCCCCCCCGCCCCGCCCCUCCACCCCGAUAUCUUCCCCCACCACCCCUCGGCGAGGAGUAAGUGCCACCGCUCCGCCUUCUCCUUUUCGCAAUGUUGACGCAAUCUAUAAAUAGUGGAACAAAAGGACCAACUUCCUCGCAGCUUUGCUGAAACUGCACAAAAAAGGCAACCGGGGGGGGAACACACACGCGGUUAUUUUUUGAUUUUAUUUUUCUCCGGUUAAAAGGCGAAUCCUCCUCCUCUCUUCCUCCCUCUCUCUCCUUCCCCCCACCUCCCUACUGGAAGAUCUUUUUUUAUUUUCCCUUGCUGCCUCCUAUGCUGGCAACGUCCUGCGAGUGGCUAUUUUGCUUUUGCACCGAGAGAAGAAGCUUCCCCCCUCGCCCUCUCUUCUGACACUUAUGGAUGAAAUCCACACUGAUGUCUAACCUGUAAUGAGUGCCAAUGUUUUGACCUUUCAAUAGAGAGCUGAUUUUGGAGAAUGGCUUACUCCUGUGAUUGAAAAAGUCUCUGGAAGGUUGAUGGAGCAUGAGCAUGCUUGAUUUUUGGCCUUAAAUCAAAGAGAUAAGUUCAGUCAUUAACAUUAGAACUGUCUUCAGUAUUUUGUUUAUUUGAACAAAGCAAGAACAAAUGUAGCUGCAGUCUUAAACAGCAAUUAAAAAAUCUGGCUGUAACUUCAGGAGAAGAGCAAUCAAGUUCCAGUACAUUUUUUUCAAAGAGCAUUCCUGACUUGUUUUCUUCAGGGGGGAGACCAACUGUCAGAGCAUACGUUUACAGUAUAGGUUUAUUUUGACUUUGCACUCCUGCUUUAAUUCACCAUGAUAGCCCUGUUAAUUUCCAGAAGUUGUCUGUCAUGACCUGACUAGAAGGCUUAUUGCAAUGGAGUGGCAUGCUUGGGUCCAUGCUGUAAACUAUGUUUAGAGCUUCAUAGUAUCUGAUGGUAAAUAGAAUAGACGUAUAUACAAUUUUGCUUUGAUUUAUGUGUAAAGGAGCCGUCUCAAGCUACGCCUAUCUAACAAUGCUUUGGAGAAUCUUUCAUUGAGAUGAUUGAAAUUGCUGCAGUGAGAAUGGAAAUUACUUUGGCUCCUUUCCUUUUAAAAGCUGCAUGCGAGAACUGUGUGAGGAAGAGGUGAGUACUGUGCAUCUUUUAAAGACCACAUCUGCAAUCAACUUUCCUUGUUACCAGCUCAGGCUGGGAAGCAGAGUUUCUGUGCUGUUUAUUCAUGGUCUAUUUCUGCAGUCCUGUGAACUCCAAAAUACUCUUGAUUUGUGUCCUCUCUUGUCACUGAUUCAUUUUGCAAAUAUAACUCAUUAUUACACCUGUGUGUGCCAUUUUUUGCUUGUCAUUUUUGUAAGCAACAUCGUCAACAUUUUGCAAAAUCUUCUAUGUAGUAAAGGUAAUGUACAUGUUUGAACUUCAGCAUAUUUAACAAUAAAUUUUCCUGUGAAGACCUAUUUUACAGAAAGAAUAAGCUGUUUAAAUUGUAACAAUUUCUUAAUGUACAGUAGUAAGCACUGCAUCUCUAAAAAUGUAAAGUGACUUAAACCUAAGUAUUUAAGACUUCUACUGCCAUUUUCUUGAAAUUUCAAAGGCAGUUUUCUUGGUACUGCCUAUGGCACACUGCUAAAUGAAUGUGGUCUGUACUAGAAAUUUGGAUACAGUGAUAUGAAAAUGUUUCAGCUUUUCCCUUAGUCAUGGUAUCUUAAGUAUAGGGGGAAGUCUCCUCUAAUCAGGUAGCCACAUUAGCAGUAAUGGUUGAAUUUUAAGUGUUUAGACUCCCUUUAUCUUCAUUGUAACCUAUUGUCACAGAAGUCACAAGAAAUGAUAGAAAUAUACCCAAAGUGGUGAGCUGCUAUUGUACCAGUUUAACAGCAGCAACAAUUCUUCAUGUAAAAAACAAACAAAACAUUUAAAAUUUAUUUGAAGGAAAACUUAUGUCUGAGAUGUAUGCAAACCUCCUUUCUAAGGUGGCAGUUGCAAGUGUAUUGCAAUAAAAUAUUUAACUAUUAAGAGAAAUAAAAAAUGAUGGAAAAAUGCAAUGGCAUGAGUGACAUUGCUUAUCUUUCUGUGAGGGGGAUAAUAGUCAUCAGAGUAUUUCUUUUUCACUCUAAAUAGUUUAUUUCUGUUAGAAGCUAUUUAAUGGUUGUCAGGUGCAACUCUUAUUUUUUUCCAUAUCUUAUUCACUUAUAAUAAAUAGCUCUGUAUUUGUUAAUAAAUAAAAUUAAAUGUCUUA